UCUUAAAGAGGUAAAUUUGGUGUGG
RNAcentral lists this non-coding RNA (25 nucleotides) under Mus musculus (house mouse). The record is from RNAcentral. Lineage: Eukaryota; Metazoa; Chordata; Mammalia; Rodentia; Muridae.